AGUGGACGCUGGCGGUAGGCCUAACACAUGCAAGUCGAACGUCAGCACAGUAAGAGCUUGCUCUUACGGGUGGCGAGUGGCGGACGGGUUAGGAAUACAUCGGAAUCUACUUUUUCGUGGGGGAUAACGUAGGUAAACUUACGCUAAUACCGCAUACGACCUACGGGUUAAAGCAGGGGAUCUUCGUACCUUGCGCGAUUGAAUGAGCCGAUGUCGGAUUAGCUAGUUGGCGGGGUAAAGGCCCACCAAGGCGACGAUCCGUAGCUGGUCUGAGAGGAUGAUCAGCGACACUGGAACUGAGACACGGUCCAGACGCCUACGGGAGGCAGCAGUGGGGAAUAUUGGACAAUGGGCGCAAGCCUGAUCAAGCCAGACCGCGUGGGUGAAGAAGGCAUGCGGGUUGUAAAGCCCUUUUGUUGGGAAAGAAAAGCAGAAGGUUAAUACCCCGCUGUUCUGACGGUACCCAAAGAAUAAGCACCGGCUAACUUCGUG
RNAcentral lists this ribosomal RNA (492 nucleotides) under uncultured bacterium. RNAcentral's name for it is "partial 16S ribosomal RNA". It matches the Rfam family "Bacterial small subunit ribosomal RNA", at positions 29 to 507 of the family's 1533-position model. The record is from RNAcentral.